GUCCAUGCCGUAAACGUUGGGCACUAGGUGUGGGUUCCAACCAACGGAAUCCGCGCCGUCGCUAACGCAUUAAGUGCCCCGCCUGGGGAGUACGGCCGCAAGGUUAAAACUCAAAGGAAUUGACGGGGGCCCGCACAAGCAGCGGAGCGUGUUGCUUAAUUCGAUGCUACGCGAAGAACCUUACCUGGGCUUGACAUGUGGGGAAAAGCACUAGAGAUAGUGUGUCCUUCGGGGCCGUCACACAGGUGGUGCAUGGCUGUCGU
RNAcentral lists this ribosomal RNA (263 nucleotides) under uncultured bacterium. RNAcentral describes it as "partial 16S ribosomal RNA". It matches the Rfam family "Bacterial small subunit ribosomal RNA", at positions 793 to 1055 of the family's 1533-position model. The record is from RNAcentral.